This 257-nucleotide ribosomal RNA is filed under the name uncultured bacterium. RNAcentral describes it as "partial 16S ribosomal RNA". It matches the Rfam family "Bacterial small subunit ribosomal RNA", at positions 15 to 263 of the family's 1533-position model. The record is from RNAcentral.
GAUCCUGGCUCAGGAUGAACGCUAGCUACAGGCUUAACACAUGCAAGUCGAGGGGCAUCGGGAAGAAAGCUUGCUUUCUUUGCCGGUCGACCGGCGCACGGGUGAGUAACACGUAUCCAACCUGCCCUUUACUCGGGGAUAGCCUUUCGAAAGAAAGAUUAAUACCCGAUGGCAUAAUGAUUCCGCAUGGUUUCAUUAUUAAAGGAUUCCGGUAAAGGAUGGGAUGCGUUACCAUUAGGUUGUUGGUGAGGUAACGG